GUAGGUGGCAAGCGUUGUCCGGGAAUUAUUGGGGCGUAAAGCGCGCGCAGGCGGUUCUUUAAGUCUGAUGUGAAAGCCCACGGGCUCAACCGUGGAGGGUCAUUGGAAACUGGAGAACUUGAGUACAGAAGAGGAAAGCGGAAUUCCACGUGUAGCGGUGAAAUGCGUAGAGAUGUCGGAGGAACACCAGUGGCGAAGGCGGCUUUCUGGUCUGUAACUGACGCUGAGGCGCGAAAGCGUGGGGAGCAAACAGGAUUAGAUACCCUGGUAGUCCACGCCGUAAACGAUGAGUGCUAAGUGUUAGGGGGUUUCCGCCCCUUAGUGCUGCAGCUAACGCAUUAAGCACUCCGCCUGGGGAGUACGGCCGCAAAGGCUGA
This 377-nucleotide ribosomal RNA is filed under the name uncultured organism. RNAcentral's name for it is "partial 16S ribosomal RNA". It matches the Rfam family "Bacterial small subunit ribosomal RNA", at positions 527 to 897 of the family's 1533-position model. The record is from RNAcentral.